GUCCACGCUGUAAACCAUGUCAACUAGGUGUUGGUAGUGUUACACUAUCAGUGCCGAAGCAAACGCGUUAAGUUGACCGCCUGGGGACUACGAGCGCAAGCUUAAAACUCAAAGGAAUUGACGGGGGCCCGCACAAGCAGCGGAGCGUGUGGUUUAAUUCGAUGCAACACGAAGAACCUUACCUAGGCUUGACAUGACCGUAGUAGUGAAGCGAAAGCGGAACGAGCCUUCGGGCAGCGGCCACAGGUGUUGCAUGGCUGUCGU
RNAcentral lists this ribosomal RNA (264 nucleotides) under uncultured bacterium. RNAcentral's name for it is "partial 16S ribosomal RNA". It matches the Rfam family "Bacterial small subunit ribosomal RNA", at positions 793 to 1055 of the family's 1533-position model. The record is from RNAcentral.